Molecule: ribosomal RNA, 393 nt
Filed under: Fomitopsis sp. FBCC2323
Lineage: Eukaryota; Fungi; Basidiomycota; Agaricomycetes; Polyporales; Fomitopsidaceae
Description: eukaryotic LSU rRNA
Rfam family: 5.8S ribosomal RNA (bases 45-198)
Source: RNAcentral
UUCAGUUUAAAGAAUGUCCUCUUGCGUCUAACGCAUUUAAAUACAACUUUCAGCAACGGAUCUCUUGGCUCUCGCAUCGAUGAAGAACGCAGCGAAAUGCGAUAAGUAAUGUGAAUUGCAGAAUUCAGUGAAUCAUCGAAUCUUUGAACGCACCUUGCGCUCCUUGGUAUUCCGAGGAGCAUGCCUGUUUGAGUGUCAUGGAAUUCUCAACUCUAUUUGCUUUUGUGAAUAGAGCUUGGACUUGGAGGUUUAUUGCCGGUACCUGUGAUCGGCUCCUCUUGAAUGCAUUAGCUCGAACCUUUUGUGGAUCAGCUUAUCGGUGUGAUAAAAUGUCUACGCCGUUACUGUGAAGCAUAUUAUUCGGCUUCCAAUCGUCCUUCACGGGACAAUAAC